RNAcentral lists this unclassified non-coding RNA (398 nucleotides) under soil metagenome. RNAcentral describes it as "partial contains 5.8S ribosomal RNA, internal transcribed spacer 2, and large subunit ribosomal RNA". The stretch from base 1 to 120 matches the Rfam family "5.8S ribosomal RNA", at positions 35 to 154 of the family's 154-position model. The record is from RNAcentral.
GAUGAAGAACGUAGCGAAAUGCGAUAAGUAAUGUGAAUUGCAGAAUUCAGUGAAUCAUCGAAUCUUUGAACGCACCUUGCGCUCCUUGGUAUUCCGAGGAGCAUGCCUGUUUGAGUGUCAUUAAAUUCUCAACUAUUAUCAGCUUUUGUUGAUAAUGGCUUGGAUAUGGGGGUUUAUUUUGCUGGCUUCUUCACAGAUUGUCAGCUCCCCUUAAAUGCAUUAGCCGGUGCCCCGCGUGGACUGUCUAUUGGUGUGAUAAUUAUCUACGCCGUGGACAUCUACAAUCAUAUGGGUUUGCACUGCUUCCAACCGUCUGUUUAUUCAGACAAUACAUGACAAUUUGACCUCAAAUCAGGUAGGACUACCCGCUGAACUUAAGCAUAUCAAUAAGCGGAGGA